This 4357-nucleotide long non-coding RNA is filed under the name Homo sapiens (human). RNAcentral describes it as "HSALNT0116663". The record is from RNAcentral. Lineage: Eukaryota; Metazoa; Chordata; Mammalia; Primates; Hominidae.
GGUGUCCUAAUGAGAACAGAGAAAUUUGAACACACUUGGGGCAGAAUGCCAGGUGAACACACACAGGAACAAUGCCACGGGAACACACACAACGGGGAGAACGCCAUGUGAACACACAGAGGGGAGAACGCCAGGUGAACGCACAUGGAGGGGAGAACGCCGGGUGAACGCACACAGGUGGGAGAACGCCAGGAGAACGCACACAGAGAGGAGAACGCCGGGUGAACGCACACAGUCGGGAGAAUGCCGGGUGAAUGCACAAAGGGGAGAACGCCCAGUGAACGCACAGAGGGGAGAACACCGGAUGAACGUACUCAGCGGGGAGAACUCCAGGUGAUCGCACACAGAGGGGAGAACGCCUGGUGAACGUACACAGGGCGAUGCAUGCACACAGGCGCGGGUUGAACGCACACAACGGGGAGAACGCCAGGAAUCCCAAGGUGCUGGUAUUAACACCUUGGGAUUAGAAUUUCAACACAGGAGAGAACCUCCAGUGAGCGCACAGAAAGAAGAACGCCACAGGAACGCACAGUGGAGAGAAUGCCAUGUGAAGGCACAAAGAACGGAGAACGCUGCGUGAACGCACACACGUGGGGGAGAAAGCCAGGGGAACGCACAGAGUAAAUAGAACGCAAUGGGAACGCACAGGAAAGAGAACGCCACGGGAACACACCGGGGGAGAACGCCAGGAGAACACACUGAGGAGAGAACUCCGCGUGAACACAAUGCGGGAGAACUCCAGGUCAACGCACGGAGAGGAGAACGCCUGCUGAAUGCACGGGGUUGGAGAACGCCGGUGAACGCCGGUGAACGCACGGGGAAGAGAACGCCACGUGAACACACGGGGGAGACGCCGCACGAACACACAGAAGGGAGAAUGCCGGGUGAACACACACGGGGGAGAACGCCCACGCGAACGCACAGGGUAGAGAAUUCCGGGUGAAGGCACAGGAGGGAAACGGCGCGCGAACGCUCAGCGGGGAGAACGCCUGGUGAAUGCACGGGAGGGAGAAGGCCAGGUGAACGCACAGGGGGAAAAUGCCGCGCUAAAGCACACGGGAAAUAACGCCGAGCAAACACACAGGUGGGAGAACGUCGCACGAACGCACAGCGUGGAGAACGCGACGUGAACGCACACGGGGAAGAACACUGCGCGAACGCACAGCAGGGAGAACGCCACUUGAAAGCAAAGUGAGGGGAGAAUGCCGCGUUGAACGCACAGUGGGGAGAACAACCCGCGAACUCAUAAAGGGGAGAACGCAGCGUGAAAGCACACAGCGGGGAGAACGCCUGGGGAACGCAAAGAGUAAAGAGAAUGCCUUGGGAACGCACAGGAGAGAGAACGCAACCUGAACACACGGUGGGGGCUGGAGGAAGAACGUCGGGAGAUCACACAGGGAGGAGAACGCCAGGUGAACGCACAAGAGAAAACGCCUGGUGAACGCGCAAAGAAAGGAGAAAGCCAGGUGAACGCACAGGGAGAACGCCGCACAACCGCACAGGUAGGAGAAAGCCAUGUGAACGCACAAAGAAAGGAGAACGCUGAGUGAACGCACACAGGGCCGAGAACGCCAGGGGAACGCACACAGUAAAGAGAACACCGAGAACGCCGUGGGAACGCACAGGAGAGAGAACGCCACGUGAACACACGAGGGAGAACGCCGCGGGAACACACAGAAGGGCGAAUGCCCGGCGAACGCACAGAGGGGAGAACGCCAGGGGAACACGCACGGGGGAGAACGCUGCGCGAUCACACAGCGGGGAGAACACCGGGUAAACACACACUGGGGAAAACACCGCGUGAACGCAUAGAGGGGAGAACCCCGGGUGAACACACAGAGGGGAGAGCUCCGUGUGAACACAAAGGGAGGAGAACGCCUGGUGAGCACACACGGGGAGAGAACACCGCGCGGACCCACAAGGGGGAGAAUGCCUGGUGAACGUACAGCGGGAGGGGAGAACGCUGGUGAACGCACAGCGGGGAAAACGCCAUGUGAACGCACAAAGGAAGGAGAACGCCAGGUGAACUCAUACAGGGGGUAGGAACGCCAGAGGAAAGCACACAGUAAAGAGAAGGCCGUGGGAACGCGCAGGGGAGAGAACGCCGGGAGAACACAGAGGGAGGAAAAUGCCAGGUGAACGCACAAGGGGGAAAACGCCUGGUGAACGCACAAAGGAGAAAGCCAGGUGAACGCACAAGCAGCAGAACGCCAAGUGAACGCACGAGGGGAGAAUGCUGCGCCAACACACACGGGAAACACAACCGCGCGAGCACGCAGUGGGGAGAACGGCACGCGAACGCUCAGCAAGAAGAACGUAAGUUGAACGGACAGCGGGGAGAACGCCGCCCUAACACACGCGGGAAAUAACGACGCGUGAACACACAGCAGGGAGAACGCCGCGUGAAAGCACAGGGGGGAGAACGCCGCGUGAAUGCACACACGGGAAAUAACGCCGUGUGAACACACAGCGGGGAGAACGCCGCGUGAACGCACACAGGGGAAAUAACGCCGCGCGAACACACAGGGGGAAGAACGUCACAGGGACGCACAGUGGGGAAACGCCAUGUGAACGCACAAAGAAAGAACGCCACGUGAACUCGCACACGCGGGGAGAACGCCGGGGAAACGCACACAGUAAAGAGAACGCAGUUUGAACGCACAGGGGAGAGAACGCCACGUGAACACACAGAAGGGAGAAUGCAGUGCGAACACACAGAAGGGAGAACACCUGGUGAAGGCACAGAGGGGAGAACGCCGAGCGAACGCACAGGGUGGAGAAUGCCAUGUGAACGCACAAAGAAAGGAGAACCCCUGGUGAACGCACACAGGAGAAAGAAUGCCGAGGAACGCACAGAGUAAAGAGACCGCCGUGGGAACACACAGGGGAGAGAACGCCACGUGAACACAUGGGGAGAACGCCGCGGGAACACACAGAAGGGCGACCGCCUGGUGGAUGCACAGAGGGGAGAACGCCAGGGGAACACACACAGGGGAGAACGCUGGGCGAUCACACAGGGUGGAGAACGCCGGGCCACUGGAAGGGGUUCAUGGCACAAAAAAAGAUGCAGCCCAGCAAUAAGGUGAAAGAGAGAUGACGGAGCCACUGGACACAAGAAGCCUUGCACCCUGAGUCACCCCGUGGAGCACUGACGAGCCUCGGCUCCUGAUUCAUUAUGCGGAGUGCUGCCUAGUACCAGGAGCAACAGCACUGGACAGGGACAUGAGUAAGAAAUAAAACUUCCAGAGCGUGAAGCUAGUGAAAUGAUGGGAUGUGUUUAUCACAGGGCUAGCAUCAUCCUAACCAGCAUGGAGACAUGCGGGGCUGUGAACGGGAGCCUAGAGCUGCAAAUUAGACAAGCCUGGGCCAGGAGACCUUUUGCAGGCUGCAAAGCUGCUCUCUCCUUUGCCUCCUCUGUACCUCAAAGGACCUGGGGUGGUGAAGGGAGUUGUGGGCCGACCUGAGGCAGCCGGAUCCCAGCUGGAACUCCGCCACAUCCCAGGAAUGUGAAUACCAGUGGAAUCCGGAUAGGACGGUGUGACCCAGGCACAGUGGGUCCCAGGGGACGCCAAUGCUGCGGGCUGAGGCCCACGCUGGAGGAACACCGGCCAGUGGGCAGCUUUGGGUGAACUUCAGAGUGGGUGGAAGCGCAGCUGCCCCGCCUGCCCCCACGGCUGCUGCGCGAUCAGGAAACACAGCACACUCCUAAGUGAGUCGUCACCAUGGUGACUUUUGGAUUCCCACUGCCAGUUCCUGUGGAGUCAGAGAGAUCUUAGCUCAGAAGUGCUGACAGCAGGGGCUGGCUGGCCACUGGCCACAUGGGAAGAGGAGAAAGGCAGCAGGAGCCACCGUGAGGCAAAUGAGCUACAAGACGCCGCUCCGUCUGAUUUCCCGCCACAGCUCCCAACACAGGUGAAAUGGCUCAGAACAGCUCAGCAUGUCCUACUGAGGGGCAGGAAGGAUGCUGAGAAAAUCCCAGGCAGCGGUCUCAGCUGGGAUGUAAUUUGAGGGCGAAAAAGUUGUGUUGCUUGCGGUUUCUUCCUUGCUCCUUGCAGGUUAUAUUUGAAAUGAAUGUCAGAGCCAUGCGGCCGCGUGUUAGGUUCCAGUGGAAUGAGGAACUGACAGUGGAGGAUGGCAGAGGCCUGGCAGGGCAUGUCAGCACUGAGGGGGAGGUGGCACCCCCAUCUGCAGGAGGGACAGCAGCACAGCUUGGUAACAUACACAUAGAUCAAUAAAAUAAGUGAAGACAAUGGGAGCCAGGUUUAUCAAUAUUAGGGAAAGUUACAAACAUGGACAGAAAGAAAACUAGAAUGAUCUCUGCAGUAUUAGAUUAGAAUUAAAAGCACUGGUGUGAACC